GAUUGCCUACGGGGCGCAGCAGUGGGGAAUAUUGCACAAUGGGGGAAACCCUGAUGCAGCGACGCCGCGUGAGUGAAGAAGUAAUUCGUUACGUAAAGCUCUAUCAGCAGGGAAGAAAAUGACGGUACCUGAGUAAGAAGCCCCGGCUAACUACGUGCCAGCAGCCGCGGUAAUACGUAGGGGGCAAGCGUUAUCCGGAUUUACUGGGUGUAAAGGGAGCGUAGACGGCGU
RNAcentral lists this ribosomal RNA (231 nucleotides) under uncultured bacterium. Its description in RNAcentral is "partial 16S ribosomal RNA". It matches the Rfam family "Bacterial small subunit ribosomal RNA", at positions 333 to 581 of the family's 1533-position model. The record is from RNAcentral.